Molecule: ribosomal RNA, 497 nt
Filed under: uncultured bacterium
Lineage: Bacteria
Description: partial 16S ribosomal RNA
Rfam family: Bacterial small subunit ribosomal RNA
Source: RNAcentral
GAUGAACGCUGGCGGCGUGCCUAAUUCAUGCAAGUCGAGCGAACAGACGAGGAGCUUGCUCCUCUGACGUUAGCGGCGGACGGGUGAGUAACACGUGGAUAACCUACCUAUAAGACUGGGAUAACUUCGGGAAACCGGAGCUAAUACCGGAUAAUAUAUUGAACCGCAUGGUUCAAUAGUGAAAGACGGUUUUGCUGUCACUUAUAGAUGGAUCCGCGCCGCAUUAGCUAGUUGGUAAGGUAACGGCUCACCAAGGCAACGAUGCGUAGCCGACCUGAGAGGGUGAUCGGCCACACUGGAACUGAGACACGGUCCAGACUCCUACGGGAGGCAGCAGUAGGGAAUCUUCCGCAAUGGGCGAAAGCCUGACGGAGCAACGCCGCGUGAGUGAUGAAGGUCUUCGGAUCGUAAAACUCUGUUAUUAGGGAAGAACAAAUGUGUAAGUAACUAUGCACGUCUUGACGGUACCUAAUCAGAAAGCCACGGCUAACUACGUG